UUACGCGCCAUUCUUUUUACUUUUAACAUUACUGCUGGAAAUUAAAAGAAGCUAAGGGCUCGUCUUUAUUUACCCCCCCCUCCCCCGCAAAAAUAAAAAUAAAAAUUGCAAGGUCUGCUUCAUCUGCUUCUCUGAAAAUUGCAAGCUGGAAAUCCAACAAUUUCAUCUUCUUCUCUCAAAAUUGCAAAGUCUGGGUCUCUUAAAUUGCAAGAUCUAGUUCUCCACUCUGUCAUCGGGCUAAACUAUUAUCAGAUUUUGAUAUCAACUACAUUAUCAGGUUCAUCGAUUGGUGCUGAAUAGAGAUCCCAAAUUCACCAACUUUGUUGAGGUUCAUGUACUCAGCCGCAGCCAUGUUAGCGAUAUUUAAAUGCCUUAACUACGUUCCCUCAGUGGUGAGUCCUCAUAGUUUGAGAACCGUGUCUAUAUUUUUGGUGAUAUCGUUCUGUUGUUAUGGCUUUCAGUACUGUUUGAGUCAAUUGGGGGUUUGUCCCAAUGGCUCCUUGAUUUUGAUGUAUAGAGGCUUUGUCAGACUAGAGGGUUGGUAUGUAUAGACAUUCAAUAUAUUUGGGUUGUACAGUCUAGUAUUCUCCAGUAUUUCUCUUGAACCCGAUGUGGUAUAUCUCUUUGUUGU
Long non-coding RNA from Capsicum annuum, 631 nucleotides. RefSeq lists it as uncharacterized. The transcript has 3 exons. The record is from RefSeq and is a predicted model, not a curated record. Lineage: Eukaryota; Viridiplantae; Streptophyta; Magnoliopsida; Solanales; Solanaceae.